Molecule: long non-coding RNA, 821 nt
Filed under: Callithrix jacchus (white-tufted-ear marmoset)
Lineage: Eukaryota; Metazoa; Chordata; Mammalia; Primates; Cebidae
Description: lncRNA (ENSCJAG00000073053.1)
Source: RNAcentral
AGGUUGCAGGGAGGCAGAGCUUCAGUAGGAGGGAAGAUAUCCCCGGGGUGUGGGGGAGCAGCAUGUGUCACUAUCAGUCAUCAACCAAUGCCCUGCUCCAGAAUAUCCUUACUGAGUGAAUGACGAAAUGCUUGCCCGUUGUUGAUUUUUCUAGACGUGGGCCCCUUGGAUGUUCCCCUCUAAGGCAGAAAGAGCAUGAGUGUGGGAGCCAGCUGGUCUCAGUUUCUUUGUCUGCAAAAGCGAUGAGCAAACGGAGUCUUGGUUGGAUUAAGUAGCUUGCCCAAGUCCCAGGGCUAGUCCAUGGCAGAGUCAAGAUUUGGUUACAGCAGGGAUAUCCACUGGGCAAACCCAACCAGCCGAAGAGCCAAGGAGAUGGCAUUUGAAGGAGUCAGCCUGUAGCUGCUCAGAACACUGCAGAGAAGGGUUCCAAAUGACAGUGAGUGGGGUAUAGCCAAAUGGACAUUGACCAGCCCAUGCACAGACAGACACCAUUCACCCAUGCGGUGCCCCUGCAUGAGAAAAGGGGUGUCCCUGCUGGGGAGACCCAGCCCUGUUAGCACACAGCUUGGAAGGAGAUGCCCUUUGCUCCUGGGGUUGUGGCUUCCUGUCAGAAUGUAGGAGCUGGUGAGCAAAGAUUGGGCUGGAUUUCUGGAUUGGGCUGAAGCAGGAAGUCCAACCUGGCAACCAUUCCCCACGACCCCGGACAUACUAUGUGCAAAACUGAAAUAAAAUGUCAUGAAACAAUACUUACUCUUGCUGCUUGCAUUGAUCUAGUUUUUUCCCCCAUUCUAUUCUAUUCCUUUAUGAAAAAAUGUAGACUU